GGCAAAACUCAAAAACUUAGUCUCAGUUCGGAUUGUAGGCUGAAACUCGCCUACAUGAAGCUGGAGUUGCUAGUAAUCGCGAAUCAGCAUGUCGCGGUGAAUACGUUCCCGGGCCUUGUACACACCGCCCGUCACACCAUGAGAGUUGGCAAUACCCAACGUACGUGAUCUAACCCGCAAGGGAGGAAGCGUCCUAAGGUAGGGUCAGCGAUUGGGGUGAAGUCGUAACAAGGUAAC
This 237-nucleotide ribosomal RNA is filed under the name uncultured bacterium. Its description in RNAcentral is "partial 16S ribosomal RNA". It matches the Rfam family "Bacterial small subunit ribosomal RNA", at positions 1266 to 1500 of the family's 1533-position model. The record is from RNAcentral.